Molecule: ribosomal RNA, 708 nt
Filed under: uncultured Ceratobasidiaceae
Lineage: Eukaryota; Fungi; Basidiomycota; Agaricomycetes; Cantharellales; Ceratobasidiaceae
Description: eukaryotic LSU rRNA
Rfam family: 5.8S ribosomal RNA (bases 256-409)
Source: RNAcentral
AGAGGAAGUAAAAGUCGUAACAAGGUUUCCGUAGGUGAACCUGCGGAAGGAUCAUUAUUGAAUGAACAUAGAGUCGGUUGUAGCUGGCCCCUUUUAACCGGGGGGCAUGUGCACGCCUUCUCUUUUCAUCCAUACACACACCUGUGAACUUGUGAGACGGAUUUCGACCCUCUCCGGGGGGGAAAGGUCCGUCUGCUAUACAUAAACUCCUGAAUAAUAAAUUAGAAUGUAAUCGAUGUAACGCAUCUUUAAACUAAGUUUCAACAACGGAUCUCUUGGCUCUCGCAUCGAUGAAGAACGCAGCGAAAUGCGAUAAGUAAUGUGAAUUGCAGAAUUCAGUGAAUCAUCGAAUCUUUGAACGCACCUUGCGCUCCUUGGUAUUCCUCGGAGCAUGCCUGUUUGAGUAUCAUGAAAUCUUCAAAAUAAAUCUUUUGUUCACUCGAUUGAUUUUAUUUUGGACUUGGAGGCUUGCAGAUUCACGUCUGCUCCUCUUAAAUUUAUUAGCUGGAUCUCGGUGAGCUCGGUUCCACUCGGCGUGAUAAGUAUCACUCGCUGAGGACACUGUAAAAGGUGGCCGGGAUUGCGGAUGAACCGCUUCUAAUAGUCCAUUGACUUGGACAAUAAAUACUUUAUGAUCUGAUCUCAAAUCAGGUAGGACUACCCGCUGAACUUAAGCAUAUCAAUAAGCGGAGGAAAAGAAACUAACAA